AACGAACGCUGGCGGCAUGCCUAACACAUGCAAGUCGAACGAGACCUUCGAGUCUAGUGGCGCACGGGUGCGUAACGCGUGGGAACCUGCCCUUAGGUUCGGAAUAACUCCCCGAAAGGGGUGCUAAUACCGGAUAAUGUCUUCGGACCAAAGAUUUAUCGCCUUUGGAUGGGCCCGCGUUUGAUUAGCUAGUUGGUAGGGUAAAAGCCUACCAAGGCGACGAUCCAUAGCUGGUCUGAGAGGAUGAUCAGCCACACUGGGACUGGGACACGGCCCAGACUCCUGCGGGAGGAAGCAGUGGGGAAUAUUGGACAAGGGGCGAAAGCCUGAUACAGCAAUGCCGCGUGAGUGAUGAAGGCCUUAGGGAUGUAAAGCUCUUUUACCCGGGAUGAUAAUGACAGUACCGGGAGAAUAAGCUCCGGCUAACACCGU
This 432-nucleotide ribosomal RNA is filed under the name uncultured bacterium. RNAcentral's name for it is "partial 16S ribosomal RNA". It matches the Rfam family "Bacterial small subunit ribosomal RNA", at positions 29 to 506 of the family's 1533-position model. The record is from RNAcentral.